RNAcentral lists this Y RNA (96 nucleotides) under Prolemur simus (greater bamboo lemur). RNAcentral describes it as "Y RNA (ENSPSMG00000005042.1)". It matches the Rfam family "Y RNA". Rfam says of the family: Y RNAs are components of the Ro ribonucleoprotein particle (Ro RNP), in association with Ro60 and La proteins. The Y RNAs and Ro60 and La proteins are well conserved, but the function of the Ro RNP is not known. The record is from Rfam by way of RNAcentral. Lineage: Eukaryota; Metazoa; Chordata; Mammalia; Primates; Lemuridae.
AGCUGGUCUGAUGGUAGUGGUUUAUCAGAACUUACUAACAUUAGUGUCACUAAAGUUGAUGCACAACCCCUCACUGCUAAAUUUGACUGUCUUAAA